UGGAAGUAAAAGUCGUAACAAGGUUUCCGUAGGUGAACCUGCGGAAGGAUCAUUACUGAGUGAGGGCCCUCUGGGUCCAACCUCCCACCCGUGUUUAUUUACCUUGUUGCUUCGGCGGGCCCGCCUUAACUGGCCGCCGGGGGGCUUACGCCCCCGGGCCCGCGCCCGCCGAAGACACCCUCGAACUCUGUCUGAAGAUUGUAGUCUGAGUGAAAAUAUAAAUUAUUUAAAACUUUCAACAACGGAUCUCUUGGUUCCGGCAUCGAUGAAGAACGCAGCGAAAUGCGAUACGUAAUGUGAAUUGCAAAUUCAGUGAAUCAUCGAGUCUUUGAACGCACAUUGCGCCCCCUGGUAUUCCGGGGGGCAUGCCUGUCCGAGCGUCAUUGCUGCCCUCAAGCACGGCUUGUGUGUUGGGCCCCGUCCUCCGAUUCCGGGGGACGGGCCCGAAAGGCAGCGGCGGCACCGCGUCCGGUCCUCGAGCGUAUGGGGCUUUGUCACCCGCUCUGUAGGCCCGGCCGGCGCUUGCCGAUCAACCCAAAUUUUUAUCCAGGUUGACCUCGGAUCAGGUAGGGAUACCCGCUGAACCUAAGCAUAUCA
This 597-nucleotide unclassified non-coding RNA is filed under the name Penicillium griseofulvum. Its description in RNAcentral is "sequence contains 18S rRNA gene, ITS1, 5.8S rRNA gene, ITS2, 28S rRNA gene". The stretch from base 231 to 383 matches the Rfam family "5.8S ribosomal RNA". The record is from RNAcentral. Lineage: Eukaryota; Fungi; Ascomycota; Eurotiomycetes; Eurotiales; Aspergillaceae.